AAAAAGGCCUUAACAGGCCACCAAAAAUUUAAAAAAAAAUAGUAU
Capsicum annuum is the source of this 45-nucleotide non-coding RNA. Lineage: Eukaryota; Viridiplantae; Streptophyta; Magnoliopsida; Solanales; Solanaceae. The record is from Rfam.